CGCCUCUAGUGGUGAUGUUGUGAG
Molecule: non-coding RNA, 24 nt
Filed under: Arabidopsis thaliana (thale cress)
Lineage: Eukaryota; Viridiplantae; Streptophyta; Magnoliopsida; Brassicales; Brassicaceae
Source: RNAcentral